This is a non-coding RNA of Misgurnus anguillicaudatus (oriental weatherfish), 2965 nucleotides long. The record is from RefSeq and is a predicted model, not a curated record. Lineage: Eukaryota; Metazoa; Chordata; Actinopteri; Cypriniformes; Cobitidae.
UCAGGUAACAUUUUUUUGUGAGAUAAAUAUAUAACCUUGUAUGAAAGUACCAUAUGAAAAUUAAAUGCGAAAGCCAAAAACAUUUACAAAACUCUAAGCGCAUAAAUUUAGUAAAAAAGCUGAAAUUUUCUAAGACCGCUCUCAAAAUCCCUGUUUUUUUAACAACGCGUCAUAUUACGUAGUCAGAGGCGCUCGUCUGACAGGCUCUACAUUGGCAGUGCUGCGGUUGUAUUCAGCAACAGCAGUCGCAAAUUGAUGUGAUUCUCCGUAGUUUCAAUUUAGCAUCGUCAUGGUUAAUAACUGUGUUAGUGGAGGUUUUACAAACUCCAGCCUGUCAGGACAAUGAGUCCACAGGUUUCUUUUGAAGAAUAAAGGCCGCGCUAUCUUCCGUGUCUGUGUGUGUUUAGCGCAGCACGGGGAAAGAGACGAGAGACGCGACUUCAGUUCAGCAUGUGCUUCAGAAAAACGCGGUGGUGUAUAGCGUUCACGUUAGAUCGGAGGAUUAUCAUCCCGGCAAUAUGAUGGAGUUAAACAUUGGAUGCCGAAGCAAGAACCACGUGAGGCCUGUGUUUUUGCCGCCGCGAGAAAACAUGAUUCGAUCACGGUCUCUCUGAGAUGCAGCUCGAAGAUAACGUGAAAACUAUGCACAGUAAGUCUUGUUUUUUAAACAUUUGCUACUACCAAAUCAUUUAACAUAAUGAUUUCAUUCAAGUUUCUUAUAAAUAUGGAAAUCAACUAACUGAUAACCUUAGUUUGCAAAUAGUAUAACCAUCAAAUCGAGUUACAUCUUAUUUACUUUGUUUGCAUAGCUAAUUCGUAAUUCGUUUUUUGUCAUGUGGUGUGUUCAUGUAUGUACCUAAGAAGUGACAUGCUGUUAUACAAUUAUAUAAAGGUGAAUCUGUUUUAAUUCUAGUUGUCUAGCUACAGAUGAAGAUGCUUAGUAUGAUGAAUCAUCCUCUGUUGUCAUGGACGAACCUGGCGAUGUGUUAUGGAGGAGGAAAAAACAAAAAAGACUCAUCUGAUGAGAAACCACUGCAAGAAUCUCAUCCUGUUCACACAAGUCUGUGCAGCAUGCAUGUAUCAGCAUUUUUGGUGACCAGUGACUUCUCUUCUGAGGGGCGUGAAUUCCAAAUGUGUGUUUGUUGUGACGUGUGUGAACCAUGUGCAUCAUGCCUCUUGUCACAAUACGUGCCUGCUGCACACGCGUUGAAAAGGUUUAUGAUAAAAAAGAAGCACUCAUGUUCACAAAAUACUCGCAAGACACUAACUUGACACUAAACUGUAAUUACACAGGAGAUGAAGUGAGUAUCAGGCAUACGUGAGCGUAUCUUUUAUCAUAAACCCUUUACAUGCGUGUGCAGCAGAUUUUGACAUCACGUGUGAUGCACAUAAGUUUACAUGACGCGCUGAACACAUAUUUUGAAAUUACGAGCCACACACAUGACGAGCUCAAUGCAUGUGACCAGCUUCGCAACAUGCGCCCUCAAAAAAGAACUCACCGGCCGAUACUGACCCAGAUCAUCAAGAUGUUAAAACUGUUUGGGCUUUAGAGCAUCUUGUCAGCACCUUCUUCCACCAUGUACACAAUUUCUACCAUCGUGAAGGCGUGGCGAAUGAGAGAUUUGCAGUCACCACAGGCUCUACGAGAAUGCAGCACUGUCCUGUCUUCCACUACACCUGCUCCCCUCUCCAGAUCCACCCAGAGGAUCAACAAGGAUGAAGCUGUUGGGAUCUAUUAAUCACAUCAUUCACAAUUUAACACACUUCAACACAUUAUUAUAAUACCCGCACAUAUGAUGGGAAAGAUACUGAAAAAUUGUUAAAUGUUUUUAAAUGGGUCAGAUUGUAUAUCUUUUUUUCGGUGCUACAUAAAUAAAACUAAAUCGAAUUACAAAUGCAGAUCUACUUGGUAUAUAUCUGAUCUAAACUUCAUAAACCAGUUUUUAUACGGUAAGACAAUUUGUGAUUAUUGUUUAUGGAUUGUCACAAAAUGGGGGUAUUCAAACCAUUUAUAAAGUCCUCCUUCCUCUGGAACCUGUCCUCGAAUGGCUGACACAUGCAGGUAAAGGUAAGUUCCUUAGACGCCCAGCGGAUAACUUGCCUAUGCUGUAUUUAGUGGUAUAGUUUGGAGAUGGGAAAACUAUUAAUAUUGUUAAUUUGAAUAUUGACUAGUGCCAGCAAAAAUUGUGACUUAGUCAUGACCUAUAGGCAACUUGUAAUUAAAACAAAUUCAUUAAGAUUGUUUUAAAACAAAUUUAUUAAGAUUGUUUUAACAUUCAAAUCUUUAGUUUACUGUUCAUUUAUACAUGCAUAUUAAAUAAAUUAGUAAUAAAUAAUCUCUGCCAUAAACAUACUCAUUUCUACUGGCCUGGCCUGUAGCACAUAUGGGUUCAGACAGCUCACCUCUCCUGCGGUGAUGAGCAACAUCUGUAUCACGUAACGUAAGUGUGGAUGGAUAUUAACAUAACUUAUAAGCAUUAAAAAGACAAAGUAUCAAUAUUACCUUUGCUAUUGCAUGAUAUAUGACUAUAAUCUGUACAAUCUUGUGAUCUGAGCACAGUAUUACAUCUCGCCAGAUCACUGAUCUCACCCAGACAUCUGUCCUUUUCUCCUCACAUAACACUUCAAUUUGUCUCCUCUGACCGUUCUGUUUAAUCCUGACCCGUCCCUGCACUCUUGGCUGCAUAGCAAACUCAUAAUUGUAUGGCUGUAGUUCGUCAUACGAGUAUGAAUAAACAUUUGCUCGUUCCUCAGCGUCCGAAGAACUGUCAUUGCGAUCCAUCGUGCGCCUCUCGUGAUGUCACUUCCGGUUUGGCGGUUUUUAGAGGCGGGUCUAAAAUUUUCUUACAAAAAUGACCCCAGAAGCCUAAUUAGUGCAUUUAGAAAAAUAUUUUUUUUUAAAUCUAUUUCCUACAGUAUUUUUCUGUACUUUGAGUGAAUGGGUGGUUUAACUUUCAAGUUGCUC